ACUCCUACGGGAGGCAGCAGUGGGGAAUAUUGCACAAUGGGCGCAAGCCUGAUGCAGCAACGCCGCGUGAGUGAUGAAGGCCUUCGGGUCGUAAAGCUCUGUCCUCAAGGAAGAAUAAAUGACGGUACUUGAGGAGGAAGCCCCGGCUAACUACGUGCCAGCAGCCGCGGUAAUACGUAGGGGGCAAGCGUUAUCCGGAAUCACUGGGCGUAAAGGGUGCGUAGGCGGUUUUUCAAGUCAGAAGUGAAAGGCUAUGGCUCAACCAUAGUAAGCUUUUGAAACUGUUAAACUUGAGUGCAGGAGAGGAAAGUGGAAUUCCUAGUGUAGAGGUGAAAUUCGUAGAUAUUAGGAGGAACACCAGUGGCGAAGGCGACUUUCUGGACUGUAACUGACGCUGAGGCACGAAAGCGUGGGGAGCGAACAGGAUUAGAUACCCUGGUAGCACAGAG
RNAcentral lists this ribosomal RNA (449 nucleotides) under uncultured bacterium. RNAcentral's name for it is "bacterial SSU rRNA". It matches the Rfam family "Bacterial small subunit ribosomal RNA", at positions 335 to 799 of the family's 1533-position model. The record is from RNAcentral.